RNAcentral lists this ribosomal RNA (253 nucleotides) under uncultured bacterium. Its description in RNAcentral is "partial 16S ribosomal RNA". It matches the Rfam family "Bacterial small subunit ribosomal RNA", at positions 524 to 776 of the family's 1533-position model. The record is from RNAcentral.
UACGAGGGGGGCAAGCGUUGUUCGGAAUUAUUGGGCGUAAAGGGUGCGUAGGCGGUUUGGUAAGUCUUAUGUGAAAUCUACAGGCUCAACUUGUAGUCUGCAUGAGAAACUGCCGGGCUUGAGUAUGGGAGAGGUGAGUGGAAUUCCUGGUGUAGCGGUGAAAUUCGUAGAUAUUAGGAAGAACACCGGUGGCGAAGGCGGCCCACUGGCUCGAUACUGACGCUGAGGUGCGAAAGCGUGGGGAUCAAACAGG